AUUAUUUUGGCAGAAUAUGCAUUAGAUUUAGAAUCUAAUAAUAUAGGGAAACUUAUAAAUAAUA
RNAcentral lists this transfer RNA (64 nucleotides) under Faxonius punctimanus. RNAcentral describes it as "tRNA-Leu". It matches the Rfam family "tRNA". Rfam says of the family: Transfer RNA (tRNA) molecules are approximately 80 nucleotides in length. Their secondary structure includes four short double-helical elements and three loops (D, anti-codon, and T loops). Lineage: Eukaryota; Metazoa; Arthropoda; Malacostraca; Decapoda; Cambaridae. The record is from RNAcentral.